This is a long non-coding RNA of Parus major (Great Tit), 7241 nucleotides long. RefSeq lists it as uncharacterized. The transcript has 6 exons. NCBI's taxonomy places the organism in Eukaryota, Metazoa, Chordata, Aves, Passeriformes, Paridae. The record is from RefSeq and is a predicted model, not a curated record.
UCUUUGAAUCAUGAUUGAAUUAGAGUCUGAUCAUAGACUGAACAUGAGGAUGUUGGUGAAAUAACCUAUGGAUAAUGCAAGGAUACUCACCCAGGUGCCUUACAGAGGUCUGGCUGUGCCAUCUCUGGAAUUUAAUUUGAAAUCUAAACUUUACCUAGAAUUUUUACAGUAAUGUUAAUGGUUACUAUAAGCACAAGCUAAUUUCACUGACAGCAAGAAGUUUGGCUUCUCUAUUUAUUUCCUUUUAUCUAAUGCAAAGUACUUUUUGAAAUAAUCUUAGAAAUUCCUUGUGUGAAGUAGCUCCUGGCAAAGAUAAAACAAAGGUGCAGUUCUGUUACAUUUAACAGGCAGAGAAAUGCUUUAUGAAUAUACAGAAAUGAUUAAUGAAUUUCUUAUAUUUUAUUUUAUUUUAAACGUGUCUAAUUAUGAGGAGAAAGAACAGACUGACACUUUUUUCUUUAUAUUAAGUCAAAAUUUAUAUUAAGUUUUAAAGAUUCCUUUUCCAGUUCCAGUGGAACUGGCUUUAAAAUGACCUUUUUAAUUCCUUGAGUUUAAUUGUUGUUCUAUGAAUAUUUGAAUUUAAUCUCAGCUGGAGAGGCUGAGGUCCAGGACAGUGGUGAUACAGCAGAGAUGACCCUGAAAGAGAGGGAAAAACCAGCACAGGAGCUUUAACUCCUUUCACGAAUUCAGACAGAUUUGCAAAUAAUUAUUUUCAUCAUCUUCCUGCUGCAUCCAAAUCUGUCAGAUCAACCUCUUCUCAGUUUGUGUGGAAUCACAUCGUUCCUGCUCCGAGCUGAAGCCUCAUUAGCCUUCACAAAACAAUAUCAACAGGAAAUGUCUGGGGUGAUGGGACUGGAGAGGUGUAAAACUGCUGGUGGAAGCACAGACACCUGAUAAGCCAUUAAUGAGAUCAUUAAAGACGGGCAAAAAUUCAAUUUCAUCUGAAAAUACGAGACUUGUAAAAUGCUGAAAAAUACAUCAAAAAGCUGUUACAUAGCUAAAAAUGCUCAGGGAGUUUUGCAUCCUAAUGUGGGGCAUUGACUGACAUGCAAGUGAAGGAAAAACAGCAAUAUUAAAUCAAAUGGAAUGGCAGGCUGCAACUUCUCCCAUCCGUGGGAAUAUUUCAUGUGGGAAUUGUACAAGUAUUUCGGUGGAGGUGCACAAAAAAUCCCCUUAGGGAGACAGAGGUGCAGAGGCUGCAGGUUUGCUUAUGCCCAAAGCUACAGCAAGAGUGAAAAUGCAGCCUUGGAAAAGGAAUUCCUCAAUGGGAAUAAUAUUUUUGGAAUUAUUGCUGAAAGUGUUCGAGGCCAGGUUGGACGAGGCUUGGUCUGUGGAAGGUCCUGUGGCAGGGGUGGGACUGGGUGGGCUUUAAGUUCCUUCAAACCCAAACUGUUCUGGGAUUUAUGACAAGAUUUUAUGAAGUUCUUAGGAAAUUUAUCAGGUUUAAAUGAUCUGGAGUGUGACAAAGGGAUCUCUAAUGCAAAAGCUUUAGAUUAAUGAAUUUCUCUUACAGAAUCAAGGAAAAAAUUAGGUUUGAAGAGACCUUAAAGCUCCUCUCAUUCCAAGCCGGUGCCGUGGGCGACUGACGGUGCUCGGUGUGGAAUUCCAGCUGGGUGGAAGGUGGGAAUCAUCUCCUGAGCAGCUCAUUCUCAUCCCAAGGGACUCUGCUCAGGCUCUGGAUCCAUCAGCCCCCGUUCGAUGCCCGCCUUGUCCAUAAUCUCUUGGCAGACUCCUGCAGCUAAUCUUCCCAUUGAUUUUGGCUUAGGAACACCUGGAGCUGUUCAAUCCCUAAUAAAAUCUGAGGAGCUCACUUUUCGAGCCAUUUAACUCAUUUGGAGGCAGAGCUUAUUUAUUUUCUGAGGAGCAAUCGAAGAGCUCUGCUCCUUCCUGAGUAAAGGCAUCGGACGGACGAGUGAAAACCGAGCCAAAAUCCAUCCAACCCCACCGAGCUCCAGCCCUGCAUUUGGAAUCUUUUGGGCUACUGUGCCUCUGCCUGGUUUUUUAACUCCUUUUCCCUCUCUUCUGGUUUAUUUUCACGGUUUAAAUUUGGAGAAAAAACUCCAUCUCUCUUCCUGACCCGGUGUUUCAGGACGCUGCCAUGAUCAGUAGUGCACCACAAAUCCCAAAGGAUCCAGGUGGGAAGGAAUGCCAAACUUUCUGAUUGCCUUUCCCAUUGUUUUUUGGGUUUCCCCUUUUAUUAUUUCCUCCACCCUACUCCAGGUCCAGAUGUUUUGUCCAGGACUCCUGGCAGAUUUGCUGAGGGGAAGCAACAGGUGCAAAUUUUGGGUGUGUGCAGAUGGGGUCACUCUCCUGUAUCCCAUGCCAGAUUCCCUGGAAUCCUGCUCAGUUCUUCAGGAAAGACAGAAAUAACCAAACAACAAAGGCAGUUCAACAGGAAAAAAUUCAAUGAACUUUUGUCUGGUUAAUAAUUAUUACUGGAAUGGGGAGAAGGCUAAGGUCUGGAAAUGGAAAAAACAUGGGCAGAGUCCACAUUUCCAGAUAUUUAUUUACCUUUAUUUAUGUUAUUUACCUUUAAAUAGUGCCAGUAUUACAGUAAAAAUAAUGUUUUCUUUAAUUGUGAGUCCUUUGCAGAAAGCUCCUAAUAUCUCAUUGCAUAAUUGAUAAGCCCAAAUCUCUGUCAGAUAAUGUCUCACUUUUCUAUUUAUUUAAAUGAUGAAAGAUGGAUUUUUAUGACUAAGAUGAUUUAAUGACUUUUUCUUUUGCGUUUUCUUAACCAGGAUGACAUUUAGACAAGGGAAAGGAUAGAAAAAAGUCAGACCAGCCAUCAAUAAAUGGUUUUAUUGGUUAAAUUUUAAUGUUAUUUUUAAGCAAAUAAUGAAUUACUUUGACUAAUAACUGCAGAGCCAGACAUGAUUCAUUCCAUAAUUAGCUUGACAGUCACCAUCAAUCCUGUAGGUUUGUUCAGCUGAUUAUAAAACCUUGUCUCCUUUUCCCACAUAACAUCUUCCCAAGUUGCCUCCCAUGGAACAGGAGGUUCCUGAGGAAUCUCUGAGCAAAUCUUUGGCAAUUCCAGUUCUCCAGCCACUGGGGGCAAGCACCCAGCCCUGAGGUUGAGCCUGGAGCCAAAACGUGGGGAAUAUUGAGAAUAUUGACAGUGUGGGAGAGCUUUCAGCCUGGAUCAGGGCUGGUUUUGUAGGAGAAUUAAACCUGGAAGCUUCAGUUGGAAAUCAGUCUCUCCUGGAGAACCGAGCCCAACCAAAGCACCAGCAGUGGUUGGGGCAGCAGCUCUGGGGGGCUGAGGUGACACCACACAGCCUUUAAGCACAGGUUUGACAAGAAAUUGGAUGAGAAGUUUUGACGUGUUCUAGGUCAGACAGGCGGGAGAUUCCUCAGAGGAAGAAUCCAAAUGGAGCAGCUUUCCCACCUUUCAGCAAAACACCUCAGUACUGGCAAGAUUUGGAGCACUUUGUGGAAGCAAUAAUUGGCCUGGAAAUACACCUGGCAGGCUUCCCCAGGAAGGAGCAGGAGUUUCACUGCCUGAGGUCUUCCAUGAACUGCUAAAACCCAUGGAAGGUGGUAGCAGGACUGCCAUGUCCUUCCAGGAAUGCUCUCCAGCCUCCCUGGAGCUUCGUGGGAUCUGCUGGAAGCGAUUUACAAAGGUCCCAAAGUGUCCCUGGAAGGAAUGUCCUGGAGAAGGUUUGGAAAUCUGGUCAGUGCCUCAUGAUCUAAAUCCCAGCAUUGCUGUGUCAGCCAGCCAGGACAAACAUUGCACCAGGGAAAACAUUGGACUGUGUGCUCAAAGCUGUGGAAGGAGCUGGCAAAACCCAGACCUGCAGCUUCAGCCAAAGAGGGACCCAACCAAAUCCUGUUGUGGUCAUGCAUCCUAUCCCAGUGUCCUCUCUCCAGAAUCCUGGAAUUGUUCAGGGGACAAGUGCUAAAAGCAACAAAUAAAUAACUGCACACAACUCCACAAACCUCAUCCUCAAACGUAGAACACGUGGAGGACGUAAUUUGGGACAGUGUGGGAAGGGACAGGUUCUUGGUGGAGAUCUCCAGAGACAAGCAACAAACCUUUCCUGACUGUGGCCAGGAACACCUUGGUGUUCCUCGCUUUCUUCCAGGUCAAAAUGACUUUAAUUUGCAAUUCACUGAAUCAUCUGCAGGGUCUGGGAGCAGUCUGUGUGCAGGAAGGACGUGCCAUGGGAGGGAGGAAGAAAAUCCUGGGUGUUAUUGCGCAGUGUUUACAGCUCCUGACAGGAUGGCUUUUAGGAAUGAAGGUUUCGACGUGGCUUAGCACACGCACGCUGUAAUUUGUCUGUCAGCUCUCCGAAAGUUCAUUGGCAUUGUCAAGUCGUGUUUAACUCAGUGGGGAAAUAUGGAUUUCAUCCCUGGUGAUUUCAUGGAGCACUUUGAUAGCCUGGAGGUUUCCCAUUACAACCACGACCUCUCGUCUCCUCCCCACCUCCUCGGGAAUUACUGCACCUCUUGGUAGGACUUCAGCAUGCAAAGCACCCAAAAUGAGUCAGGAAUGAUUCUGUCAAACUGUGGGUCCUGCCUGAGAGGAUUAAAUGUCUGAUUGUUCAGGAAUACCUGCAGGUCUGGAACCUCUCUGGAGGUGAGUAGGGGUCAUAAAACCAAAAGAAGGGCAUGGACAAAAAUCAGGGUUUUCCUUGGCAGGAGAUGGGACGUGCCAAAUAUAGCAGAGAACUCCACUUGCUGUGCUGGGGCAUGUCCAGAGAUGUAUGACAGGGAUAUUCUGGCUCUUUUCUUCCCCUUCUCAUUUUUAAAGAAGAAUAGGAAACUCUUUGCAGCACUGCACCUGCUGGGCUUGGCCCAAUAUCAACAGAAAAUCUCCAGAUCCAUUGAGGAGCCCAGGCCAGAGGUGCCUCUGCCUCUCCACAGCUAUUGCAGGCUUCAGAUGGAGACCAAUAAACCUUCUGCAUCUGGAGAACAUUUAAUUUUCCAUGCUCAGCCUUUUAGUUAAAGGUGCUUCCAGACCACAUUAACAGAAAUAAAAGCUGACAGAUUAAAAGGAACUCUGUUCAUUUUGGAGGUGUGCUCUGAGCUAAAAUAAUUCCCGGUGCUGAUCCUCCACUGUUCAAACCUGAGCUGUGCAAAGCACUCUCUGUGUGGCUUUGGAUAGGUAAAUAUUCCACAUAAAAAUAAGAUUGUUUAUAUCAAAACAGUUUUUAUUAUUUCUUUUCCAUUCUUUUGCCAUGCUGUUUUUUUUUAAAUCUGAUUUCAUGUGCACAUACAUUAUUUUUAUGAUGUUGUUUUACCUGGUGAGUGAAAAGGCAAUUUUUAGAAAUUAAACUUAGUGCUAACAAAAAACCUGCAUUUCUUUGUGGUACAAAUGAGCAUAAUUACAGUAAAAUACUGCUUUUAAGAGUGUUCAGCUGCUGCCAGCGUGCCUGACACACAGCAGAACUGGAUACAUGUUCUGCUCCUGGAAAAACAGACAGGAGACGUGGAUUCUGUUGGGUACAACUUGAAGACACCUUUCAACCAUCAGAAAACAACUUUUAAUUAUCAGAAGCCAACUUUUAACCCUCAGAAGCCAACUAUUAACCAUCAGAGGUCAAAGGGCAUGAUGCUGACAGUGAUUUUUAAGCUGAAGCUGGGUUAAUUUGGAGGAGGGGAAGAAUGGAGAAAUACUUUCAGUUCCUGGAAAAACAGACAGGAGAGGCGGAAUCUGCUGGGUACAAUUUGAAGACAACUUUCAACCAUCAGAAAACAACUUUUAAUUAUCAGAAGCCAACUUUUAACCCUCAGAAGCCAACUUUUAGCCAUCAGAAGCCAACUUUUCGCUAUCAGAAGCCAACUUUUAACCCUCAGAAGCUAACUUUUAGCCAUCAGAAGCCAACUUUUAGCCAUCAGAAGCCAACUUUUAACCCUCAGAAGUGACAGGGCACCAUGCUGACACCGAUUUUCAAUCUGAAGCUAAGUUGGAGGAGGGGAAGAAUGGAGAUGAUUUUGCUGCUGGCUGCAGAGAACUGGCUGUUUGUUAAACUCCAAGGGUAGAUCAUUCCCAGGUGUUUUCUGCCUUGCUGUUUGGCCCAGGCAGAGCUGGCUGUGCAGUAUGGGAUGUGCCAGGCUGGAUCACGGCUCAGUCUCCAGCGCUGCUCAUCUGGAACACCGCGUGCUCUUGAUGAUGAUCACUGAGAUGAUCUCCUGCAGGUUUGAGGGGAUCCCACCCUGACAAGCUGUCACAGCAGCCCUGAGGACAGGGAGGAGAGCUGUGUGAGGAUGUGACAGACACGAGGACUCCUCCUGAAAGCCCUCAGGGCAGGACCAGCUGCCGCAGGUGGAACGCUGGAGUUGGAUAUUUCCUCCCAGGCUUCUCCAGAGCCUCAGCAGAGCUUUGCCAGGAUGUGAAGAAUGUUUGUUCAUCUCCACUUUGUUGUUCCUCUCUCACUCCAAUCCCUUUCCAGAAUUCAAGAGUGGAAAGAACCCUGAGCAAGUCAUAAUAAUAAUUCCAUGGCUGUCUUGGUAAUGCUUCCAUAAUUAACAUUUGUCCUUACAGAUACAAUAAUUCCCUGUAAUGCAGACAUAAAUAUUCCAUUUUAAAUAGGCACCUGAAUUCUGGAGAUGAGUGGUGUAAACUUUAAUUAUAUUUCACAAGUGCAUUUCCCUCUUAAUCCCAUAUUUUUCAUUAGACACAAAAUAACAUUUCUGCUCAUUUUGGAUAGGUUGUUUUUUUUUCCCUUUGCUUUGGUCUGUUUAAAUACAAAAAAAUGUGAACAAGUAAAGGAAAGCCUGUUGACUUAGACAAAUUAAAUAUGUACAGAGUAAUUCAUACAGAAAGUUUAAUUUUUUUCCCUUUGUCUCAAUAAAGAUAUGAUAAUUUUCUGAAUCAAAGUCUUAAGCUUCAUAUUGCUACCAUCUCUUCAGGAAAACAAAUACUAGAUUCAUUUGAAAGUUAUUAUUUAACAUAUUACAAAGAUUAAUCUCUCAGUUGUUAUUGAAAGCUGAUGUUGAGUUUCGGUAAUUCAAAGAAAUAUAAAUACAAUUGAGGGUCUCUGUUGAUGGAAUGUAGGCUUUGCUUUCCAACCAGGAUUUACCUGCUGAUCUCAUUUUUCCAUGUAGGAAACCAGAGCUGAGUUUGGGCAGAAGUGGAACUUGAGUUUUACUCUGAAGGUGCAUCCCUGUGAGUAGAAACAUUAAACUGGCUCAUGGAAUUCAUACAAGGACCUGGAGUGCCAGGACACAGGGAGUGGAUUCCCACUGCCAGGGGGCAGGAAUAAAUGGGAUAUUGGGAAGGAAUUCCUCCCUGGGAGGGU